This 443-nucleotide ribosomal RNA is filed under the name Acinetobacter sp. oral taxon C51. RNAcentral's name for it is "bacterial SSU rRNA". It matches the Rfam family "Bacterial small subunit ribosomal RNA", at positions 30 to 465 of the family's 1533-position model. The record is from RNAcentral. Lineage: Bacteria; Pseudomonadati; Pseudomonadota; Gammaproteobacteria; Moraxellales; Moraxellaceae.
AUUGAACGCUGGCGGCAGGCUUAACACAUGCAAGUCGAGCGGAGCGAGGGUGCUUGCACCUUAGCUUAGCGGCGGACGGGUGAGUAAUGCUUAGGAAUCUGCCUAUUAGUGGGGGACAACAUUCCGAAAGGGAUGCUAAUACCGCAUACGCCCUACGGGGGAAAGCAGGGGAUCUUCGGACCUUGCGCUAAUAGAUGAGCCUAAGUCGGAUUAGCUAGUUGGUGGGGUAAAGGCCUACCAAGGCGACGAUCUGUAGCGGGUCUGAGAGGAUGAUCCGCCACACUGGGACUGAGACACGGCCCAGACUCCUACGGGAGGCAGCAGUGGGGAAUAUUGGACAAUGGGGGGAACCCUGAUCCAGCCAUGCCGCGUGUGUGAAGAAGGCCCUUUUGGUUGUAAAGCACUUUAAGCGAGGAGGAGGCGCCCUUGGUUAAUACCUAAAG